This 1453-nucleotide long non-coding RNA is filed under the name Triticum aestivum (bread wheat). RNAcentral describes it as "long non-coding RNA (TAES_LNC018105)". Lineage: Eukaryota; Viridiplantae; Streptophyta; Magnoliopsida; Poales; Poaceae. The record is from RNAcentral.
GUCUUCCUACUAAUGCCGAAUCGCUUAUCCCAAAAGCACAGGUUGUAAAAGUCAUAGGCUUCUCCCGAAGUAUCAAAACUCGUCCCCAAUGUCAGUACUAUGACAUUGUCCCCUGGAUUUUCCGAGAAACCUCGAAUUAUCUUCGGCAGCACCUGUCCUCACCCUGCAGUCAAUGUCACACGUGUAAAUAAUUGUAGUUCUCCAAAAAUAUUUAAAACUGUUACACACUAUGACAUUGUCCCCUGGAUUUUCCGAGAAACCUCGAAUUAUCUUCGGCGGCACCUGUCCUCACCCUGCAGUCAAUGUCACACGUGUAAAUAAUUGUAGUUCUCCAAAAUAUUUAAAACUGCUACACUCAAGUAGCACAUAAUGCGCCUAUUCGAGCAUGAUCAAGCUGUGUUGUUCGAUUCUAACAUCGGAACUGGCCGCCUUAUGGCAGCAUUGCACCAAACUUGUUUUCCCUCUGAGCUAUGUCUCUGUUUUGCUUCCUGUUCUAGCAUUUUUCACCUUUCCAAUCCUAAUGUGCCUAUUCGAGCAUGAUCAAGCUGUGCUGUUAGAUUCUAAUGUUUACUUAUGCUCCAGGGGUGUAUCCUCAUUUUUAUGAAUCUAGCAAUCAAAUUAAAAUCACACCCCGUUAAAACAAUCAUGGUUCAAUCCUAACACAGAACAGAGGACUGAAUAUACUUGAGCUGCAGCAUUCAGGAAUGCAUAGACUCUGAAUCUAUACUACAUGCGCUGACCAUUUAUUCAGCAGAUCACAUAUUCACAUACAUUACCAAAACCUAGCAGCCGUCCAUAGUCUUACUGCAAAGCCGUCAGUUCUGCAAAUUUCACACCCUCAAGACGUUUUCUACAUGUACAUCUGAAUCUCUUGGUCAUGUGUGCCAUCCGCCGCAACGCUAUAUUGCUAGUGUCACCAUACCUGCGUGUCCACGCCGGAGAUUUUGGGUCAAGCUGUUCAAUCGACUGCUCGGACACUUGCAGCUCCCUUCUCCUCCCGCCGCCAUUUGGGAAUAACUCCGGGAUGACUUCACACUUCACAUAAGAUACAAUCUUGCAUGAGAAGUAGAGUACCUUCUACUUAUAAUUUUUAGUUUCCUAUGAUCAAAUGUAGACAGUUAAAUGAAAGAAAUGAAUCUGUAGGUACUUAGUAGAUUUAUAACAACACGAGGUCAUGUAACAGGCAGAAUAUAGCAUCAUGAGAACAUAGGAUCGAGAUCAUAUCCCAGGCAUCAAAUUUUCCAUACACACAAUCGUACCCAACUAAUGGGCUUGGCUAAUAGUAGAACAUAAGAAAGCAUUAGUUAACUUAACAAUCACCUGGAAAGUCAGUAGGGCUAGAAACAUGAGAAACUAAAUAAGAUGGGUAUGACUAAAAACAAAAUAGCAUGGUGCAGGUUCUUGUAGUGAAAUAGAUUGAUGGUUACGUAAGCAAUUCUACAAAAACAAUUCA